Molecule: ribosomal RNA, 657 nt
Filed under: uncultured Bacteroides sp.
Lineage: Bacteria; Pseudomonadati; Bacteroidota; Bacteroidia; Bacteroidales; Bacteroidaceae
Description: bacterial SSU rRNA
Rfam family: Bacterial small subunit ribosomal RNA
Source: RNAcentral
AGCAUGGUCUUAGCUUGCUAAGGCUGAUGGCGACCGGCGCACGGGUGAGUAACACGUAUCCCACCUGCCGUCUACUCUUGGCCAGCCUUCUGAAAGGAAGAUUAAUCCAGGAUGGCAUCAUGAGUUCACAUGUCCGCAUGAUUAAAGGUAUUUUCCGGUAGACGAUGGGGAUGCGUUCCAUUAGAUAGUAGGCGGGGUAACGGCCCACCUAGUCUUCGAUGGAUAGGGGUUCUGAGAGGAAGGUCCCCCACAUUGGAACUGAGACACGGUCCAAACUCCUACGGGAGGCAGCAGUGAGGAAUAUUGGUCAAUGGGCGAGAGCCUGAACCAGCCAAGUAGCGUGAAGGAUGACUGCCCUAUGGGUUGUAAACUUCUUUUAUAAAGGAAUAAAGUCGGGUAUGCAUACCCGUUUGCAUGUACUUUAUGAAUAAGGAUCGGCUAACUCCGUGCCAGCAGCCGCGGUAAUACGGAGGAUCCGAGCGUUAUCCGGAUUUAUUGGGUUUAAAGGGAGCGUAGAUGGAUGUUUAAGUCAGUUGUGAAAGUUUGCGGCUCAACCGUAAAAUUGCAGUUGAUACUGGAUAUCUUGAGUGCAGUUGAGGCAGGCGGAAUUCGUGGUGUAGCGGUGAAAUGCUUAGAUAUCACGAAGAACUCCGAUUG